UACGUAGGGUGCAAGCGUUAAUCGGAAUUACUGGGCGUAAAGCGUGCGCAGGCGGUUAUGUAAGACAGUUGUGAAAUCCCCGGGCUCAACCUGGGAAUUGCAUCUGUGACUGCAUAGCUAGAGUACGGUAGAGGGGGAUGGAAUUCCGCGUGUAGCAGUGAAAUGCGUAGAUAUGCGGAGGAACACCGAUGGCGAAGGCAAUCCCCCUGGGCCUGCACUGACGCUCAUGCACGAAAGCGUGGGGAGCAAACAGG
Molecule: ribosomal RNA, 254 nt
Filed under: uncultured bacterium
Lineage: Bacteria
Description: partial 16S ribosomal RNA
Rfam family: Bacterial small subunit ribosomal RNA
Source: RNAcentral